AUGUUUAUUGUAGUGCUACAACAAGUAGUUUUCUUAAUAUUGCUGUUCACCUCAUCUUUGUUGUUAUUGUUCAUGCACCUGGAGGCUACUUGGCAAUGGGUGUACACAUAGAAAAUAAGAAACCAGCAAAUUUCAUUGCAUAAUAAUAAUCUAGGAAAGGCAAGCACUGUGACAGAAAUUAUUCUCAUCAUAUUACUCUGCUUUCUAUGAUCACUAUAAAAAUUGUGAAAAGAUCAACUAAAUAAUAAAUAAGAAAAGACUGUGAGAUGCUGAGGAAAAGUGCUGCAUUUAUAGAAAGUGCCAUGUUAUGAUAUUUUUUUCCCUACAAAACGCUCUGCACUGCCAUAAAAUACCCGAAGACUUUAGUAAAAGUGUUAGUUAUUUCUGUACACCUCUCUGGGAAUAUUUGUAGGUGUUUCACCCCUUUUAUUUUUCUCUUUUCUCCCACACCAUUUUCUUUCUUCUU
Molecule: long non-coding RNA, 466 nt
Filed under: Homo sapiens (human)
Lineage: Eukaryota; Metazoa; Chordata; Mammalia; Primates; Hominidae
Description: non-protein coding lnc-SPOPL-15:1
Source: RNAcentral